UACGGAGGGUGCAAGCGUUAUCCGGAUUCACUGGGUUUAAAGGGCGCGUAGGCGGACAGGUAAGUCAGUGGUGAAAUCUCUGGGCUUAACUCAGAAACUGCCGUUGAUACUAUUUGUCUUGAAUAUCUUGGAGGUAAGCGGAAUAUGUCAUGUAGCGGUGAAAUGCUUAGAUAUGACAUAGAACACCGAUAGCGAAGGCAGCUUACUACAGGAAGAUUGACGCUGAGGCACGAAAGCGUGGGGAGCAAACAGG
RNAcentral lists this ribosomal RNA (253 nucleotides) under uncultured bacterium. RNAcentral describes it as "partial 16S ribosomal RNA". It matches the Rfam family "Bacterial small subunit ribosomal RNA", at positions 524 to 776 of the family's 1533-position model. The record is from RNAcentral.